This is a long non-coding RNA of Quercus robur (English oak), 530 nucleotides long. RefSeq lists it as uncharacterized. The transcript is spliced from 3 exons. NCBI's taxonomy places the organism in Eukaryota, Viridiplantae, Streptophyta, Magnoliopsida, Fagales, Fagaceae. The record is from RefSeq and is a predicted model, not a curated record.
UCUUUCUCUUGGCCAACACGUGCCCCACCCAAGAUAUUUCUCUUAUCUUUUCUUGGCUAUACCAGAAGACUCUUUGUUCUUCUUUCUUUGCUCUUUUCUGUUCAUCUUCUUUCUUUGUUUUGUUCGGCAACACCUCUCUCUCACUCUCUCACCAACAUCCCUCCCUCUCUCACCGGAACCAUAUAUCUCACUCUAAGGAAGAAAUUAAAAGAUUAGUCCUAAGAUUUCAGCUUUAAAGUUUGUGGGUGUUGCCAACCCUAGAUCUGAGCUCCUUCGACUUUAAGCUCUCGAUUCCUCUACUUUCAGUUAGCAGGUUUUAUUUUGGAGCAAAGGGAGCCUUAGUCGAGUUUUGGAAUGAGCUGGUUUUAGUUUUAAUAUAUAAAUCCCAAAUUAGUAUUUAAUGUUUAGCUUUGUAGUAUUGUGUAUUUUAAGAUCUAAUGGAAGUUGUGUACCUUAAAGUAUUAAGAGAUGUAUUAUGUGAAAUUUAGAAUUUAAAUAACCGGUGGAUUGUGUUAUCGGUUGAAGUACAA